UUCCAAGGCAGGAGCCGCCGGCCUCCCUUAUUUAUAUCCCUGGUGAUUGACAGCCAUGCUAUCCAAUGACGACUUAGCCGGCGAGAGGUGGGCUUCCUUUGGUCUAAAAGAUAAAUUACAAAUCAACCACCCGUUUACGAAAUUGGUUUGGGCGAAAUUACAAUACAAGUGCUUUGUUUCUUUCUCUUGUUGUACGUUAAACGAUCUCUUGGGAGUAACUGGUGGAAAUCUACUCCCUUAGAGGCAGUUUACCAAAUGCAACAUUUUUGAAGAUGAGGAAGAUCUGUCACUUGACAAACCUCAGGCAGGUCAGAACUGUCCAAGGGUCACCUGGCAGCGCACAUGAUCAAUCACAUAAGCUUUAUGCCUGUAAGAGCCUGGACCUUGGAAAGCAAAAGCCUCUUGACUAUCCUUGGGGCAAGGACAGCCGCAAGCAUUCACUCUUCAAGGCCCUCACCCUACUCAUCUAGGCCCAUGGUCCCUGAAUGAUUUGUAGCCCAGCCCUUCUGCAGCCCAGCCCUGCGCAGUCCUGCAUGAGUUCCUGGCUUCCUAGGGUCCUUGGAACUUACCUGUACUUUGUAGUCCUUUUGUUGUUUGAAACUGAAAACCAGAAAGUGAUAAAUAUGUGUUGCUACUGAUGGAGUCUUGAACUUUCAACCAACUUGAGCCCUAAUUCAAGAACCUAAGUUUUGAAGAUGGCCUACAGGGAAACCUUCACACUGGAGAUGGUUUGAUUUGACUCUUAAUUCUGCAUGAGACGAUUACAAUUUUCCCAAACAGACCCAACUUGUACAACCAGUUAACUACUAGAACUAACAAUUUUUUGUCAUGAAGAAUGAAUGGCUCCAAAUUGUUAACAACUUUUCAUUCUUAAGAUUAGGUGUAGGAGGUGAAUGUUUAGAGAAAGUUUUUAACCCUCUUACUUUAUAUACUUCUGUAAUGCUUGAAUUUAAAAUGUAUAUUCUUUUUGUAAUUUCAGGACAAAACAGAAGAAUUUGGUUAGAUGUAAAGUGUUGUACAGAGAAUCAAAGGAAUCAGUUUGAAUUAUCUGAUUUUUAACUGAAUUUGAAAAAGACAAUCUGGCAUCACCUAAUUACCAAGAGCCAACUUGUGCUGUCAUAGCUGCCUGGCAGGAGGUUAUAGAUAAUCUGUCUGCAAAAGUCUUCCCUGGGGCAGUGACACUGGAAGUGGCCCUGCAAGUUGAUAAGGAUUUUCUCACGAUACAGCGAGAAUCUGAAUGUCCUUCCCACUUUCCCAGAAACAAAUACAGUUCCUCUAUUCUGUUGUCUUUUUACUAUUGUUAUUUUAAAAAAUUACCCAAGUUAUACAUCCUCAUUGUGAAAUCAGACAAUACAGAAAUGUGUAAACCUUAUUCUGCAAAGGUAA
Molecule: long non-coding RNA, 1386 nt
Organism: Manis pentadactyla (Chinese pangolin)
Lineage: Eukaryota; Metazoa; Chordata; Mammalia; Pholidota; Manidae
Exons: 4
Source: RefSeq, a predicted model, not a curated record